RNAcentral lists this transfer RNA (70 nucleotides) under Diaphanes pectinealis. RNAcentral describes it as "tRNA-Lys". Lineage: Eukaryota; Metazoa; Arthropoda; Insecta; Coleoptera; Lampyridae. The record is from RNAcentral.
UAUUAGAUGACUGAAAGCAAGUUCUGGCCUCUUAAGCCAUUUCAUAGUAAAUAGCAACUACUUCUAAUAA